RNAcentral lists this signal recognition particle RNA (148 nucleotides) under Chlorocebus sabaeus (green monkey). Its description in RNAcentral is "Metazoan signal recognition particle RNA". It matches the Rfam family "Metazoan signal recognition particle RNA". From Rfam's summary of the family: The signal recognition particle (SRP) is a universally conserved ribonucleoprotein. It is involved in the co-translational targeting of proteins to membranes. Lineage: Eukaryota; Metazoa; Chordata; Mammalia; Primates; Cercopithecidae. The record is from Rfam by way of RNAcentral.
GCCGGGUGUGGUGGUGCGCACCUGUAGUCCCAGCUACUUGGGAGGCUGAGGCAGGAGAAUUGCUGGAACCUGGGAGGCUGAGAUUGCAGUGAGCCAAGAUUGGGCCACUGCACUCCAGCCUGGGUGACAGUGCAAGACUCCGUCUCAA